CUUCUGCAGGCCCAGAGCUGCACCCACCUCAGGGAGUAUAUAAGGACGGUGCUUGCACUGCAGGCAUCUUCAGAUCCAGAGCCCCUCCCAGGCAGCAAGCAAAGGGGAAGCAGCUAGCACCACUAUUAUUCUUCCUUGCCCAUCUCUGUGGAAACAAGCUCUGAGAGGAGUCAGGAUUGGCCUCUGUCCUGUGUUGUAGCCUCACCAUGGAGCAGCUGAGCUUGGCCAACACCCGGUUCGCAGUGGACCUCUUCCGCACCCUGAAGGACAACAACCCCUCUGGGAACAUCUUCAUCUCCCCCAUGAGCAUUUCCUCAGCGCUGGCCAUGGUCUUUCUGGGGGCCAGAGGCACUACCGAGGCACAGAUGUCCAAGGUCAGCAGAAACUAACAAAAGGAGUCUGGGUUCCCUGCAAGUCCCUCCUAAAAAGCUGUGCCUU
This is a long non-coding RNA of Myotis brandtii (Brandt's bat), 438 nucleotides long. RefSeq lists it as uncharacterized. NCBI's taxonomy places the organism in Eukaryota, Metazoa, Chordata, Mammalia, Chiroptera, Vespertilionidae. The transcript is spliced from 3 exons. The record is from RefSeq and is a predicted model, not a curated record.